This is a long non-coding RNA of Entelurus aequoreus (snake pipefish), 942 nucleotides long. RefSeq lists it as uncharacterized. NCBI's taxonomy places the organism in Eukaryota, Metazoa, Chordata, Actinopteri, Syngnathiformes, Syngnathidae. The transcript has 3 exons. The record is from RefSeq and is a predicted model, not a curated record.
UCUCCAACUGUGACUUUGGCCCGCGAAGGCGAGUAAUGCCCCGACGACAAGCAGGGCCCGGUACGUCAACAUCGCUGCAAGCUUACCUUGGUGGGCUGUUGGUCCAAAAUCUUCCUUGUUCUCUACGGAUCAGUCAGCGGUACCACACAGUUUUGUCAGGAGUUGAAUGGUUUGCUUCGGGCAGAAGCUGAGUGGCCCUUCUCCAGUCUUCACGCCUGGCAGCUUUGUGUCCGCGUGACGCUCGAUCCAGUGCAGAGAGAGGGAGUCAAGCUGCAGGUGAGAGAAGCUCGCUCCACCUGUACUCACAUGAAAGAGCAGGGCGGCACUAAAAAGGGUGAAAUCCCGCCAGGAUGUCAUUCUAAAGAAAAAUGAUGCCGCAGUAAAAUGCACAAAUGACACGUGUGAUGUUGGAAGUGAUCCACUUUAUUUCUUUGAGCGCCAAACGUAUUGACUUAUUCCUCUUUUUGUCGUCAGCGCGAGUGCAGCUUGGCAAGCGUUUGAAGUGUUGUCACGUGAAGAUGACAAGAAAGAUGAAAAGACGAGCUAGAGGCCACUUGUCUACCAGCUCUCAGGUGGGAUCAGGGAGGGCAGGAAUUCCCCCGCCUCAAGCAGAGCCCUGCCUUGUUCACGCACACACACUUUGUAAAUAUUAUGUAGCUCCCAAGAUGCAUUGAGGGAACAAGCAGCUCACGGCCGCUCCAGGUCGUCCUUGCUUCUUGACUAACUGAAACGGCGGGCGCGCGGGGCCAAGGUUAAAGGAGAGCUGGGUCAUGUUCCAACUUGUACACAAAGGCCAGUGUCAGCUGAUUGUGUCCUGGUUUUGUCACACAGCAGCCGAUCGAAACAAAAAAUAAACAGUGGCUGCUUGCCAGCAAGUAAAGGGUCUAUGAUGUGACAUCGCUUCCUGUGGAUGCGAUGAGCGGUUUGGUGUGCACGUGUUCU